This 216-nucleotide long non-coding RNA is filed under the name Elaeis guineensis (African oil palm). RNAcentral's name for it is "long non-coding RNA (EGUI_LNC014432)". The record is from RNAcentral. Lineage: Eukaryota; Viridiplantae; Streptophyta; Magnoliopsida; Arecales; Arecaceae.
CCCUAGCUAUGUUGAUCAACAAAAUUUAAUUUCGACGGUCAUGAAUGAUCGUAUGAUAAUCUAAUAGAUAGAAACCACUGAAGGAUCUAAAAAUUUACAAAGAUGAUCUUGAUAAUAUUUGUAGCAUACUAUCAAAAUUGUAGUUCAAUCAGACAUCAUUAUUAUAGUCAAUUUAGCAUAAAAUAAUUUAAACCGUUAAAUAAAAAAUGAGUGAUC